This 379-nucleotide ribosomal RNA is filed under the name uncultured bacterium. Its description in RNAcentral is "bacterial SSU rRNA". It matches the Rfam family "Bacterial small subunit ribosomal RNA", at positions 330 to 723 of the family's 1533-position model. The record is from RNAcentral.
ACCAGACUCCUACGGGAGGCAGCAGUGGGGGAUAUUGGACAAUGGGGGAAACCCUGAUCCAGCGACGCCGCGUGAGUGAAGAAGUAUUUCGGUAUGUAAAGCUCUGUCAGCAGGGAAGAAAGAAAUGACGGUACCUGACUAAGAAGCCCCGGCUAACUACGAGCCAGCAGCCGCGGUAAUACGUAGGGGGCAAGCGUUAUCCGGAUUUACUGGGUGUAAAGGGAGCGUAGACGGUGCAGCAAGUCUGAUGUGAAAGGUCGGGGCCCAACCCCGGGACUGCGUUGGAAACUGUGGAACUGGAGUGCAGGGGAGGUAAGCGGAGUUCCUGGGGUGGCGGUGAAAUGCGUAGAUAUUAGGAGGAACACCAGUGGCGAGGGCG